This is a non-coding RNA of Ictidomys tridecemlineatus (thirteen-lined ground squirrel), 70 nucleotides long. The record is from Rfam. NCBI's taxonomy places the organism in Eukaryota, Metazoa, Chordata, Mammalia, Rodentia, Sciuridae.
GGGACUGUGGCUCACUGGUAGAGCGCUCACCUAGCACGUGCGAGGGCCCUGAGUUCGAUCCUCAGCACCA